AUUGAAACACUGGUUUCCGUACAAUCACCGAAGUUAAGCAACGUCCAGCCUGAUCAGUACCUAGAUGGGUAACUACUUGGAAAUACCUGUUGCUGUAA
Non-coding RNA from Acanthosepion pharaonis, 98 nucleotides. The record is from the annotation of a GenBank genome assembly. NCBI's taxonomy places the organism in Eukaryota, Metazoa, Mollusca, Cephalopoda, Sepiida, Sepiidae.